GACGAACGCUGGCGGCGUGCUUAACACAUGCAAGUCGAACGGAAAGGCCUGCUUUCCCUUGUGGUUUGCGGGUACUCGAGUGGCGAACGGGUGAGUAACACGUGAGUGAUCUGCCCCCAACUUGGGUAUAAGCCUGGGAAACUGGGUCUAAUUCCCGAUAGGACUGCAGGGUGGUGCCUGUGGUGGAAAACGAUUUGCUAGUGGUUGGGGAUGAGCUCGCGGCCUAUCAGCUUGUUGGUGGGGUAAUGGCCUACCAAGGCGGCGACGGGUAGCCGGCCUGAGAUGGUGGACGGUGACAUUGGGACUGGGUUACGGCCCAGACUCCUGCGGGCGGCAGCAGUGGGGAGUAUUGGACAAUGGGCGGAAGCCUGAUGCAGCGACGCCGCGUGGGGGGUGACGGCCUUCGGGUUGUAAACUCCUUUCGACCGCGAGGAAGCCACCUGGUUGGAAGGGUGGUGACGGUAGUGGUAGAAGAAGCACCGGCUAACUACGUG
This 494-nucleotide ribosomal RNA is filed under the name uncultured bacterium. Its description in RNAcentral is "partial 16S ribosomal RNA". It matches the Rfam family "Bacterial small subunit ribosomal RNA", at positions 28 to 507 of the family's 1533-position model. The record is from RNAcentral.